RNAcentral lists this unclassified non-coding RNA (1606 nucleotides) under Leguminivora glycinivorella. RNAcentral describes it as "retrovirus-related Pol polyprotein from transposon TNT 1-94, transcript variant X3". Lineage: Eukaryota; Metazoa; Arthropoda; Insecta; Lepidoptera; Tortricidae. The record is from RNAcentral.
GAUAUGUAAACAUAAUUAUAGUUUCCGAACGAACACCCGUCACUUAGUUCAUCAAUCCUGUCACUAGUGUCGCUACUGUCAAUGCGAAAUCGAAAAUUGCUCUUAUCAUUGUUGUGAACUUUUAAUUCGUAUUAAAACUAAUAAUUAACUAUUCUAUUCGGCGUAUUAUUUCCUCAGGUUAUGGGCCGUCCCAUAAACGCAAUAUAGAACUGAGGUUAAUUAUCUGAGUUUCGUAAAAAAGUCAGUACAACUAGAAAUACGUGGAAUAAUUUGUACCGGGAACAAUGGCUACGUCUAACUUGCAAAUUGAGAAAUUAGCCGGUCGAGAAAACUACUCGACGUGGAGGUUCGCCGUCAAAUCGUAUUUGGAGCACGAGGAUUUAUGGGAAUGUGUUGAUCCGGGAAAUCCAGUGGAUUCCAAGAAAGACAUCAAAGCCAAGUCCAAGAUAAUUUUAUUAGUGGAGCCAAUCAACUAUGUUCACAUUGAAACGGCAAAAUCAGCUAAAGAUGUGUGGUUUAGCUUGCAAAAAGCAUUUGAGGACUCCGGGUUGUCAAGAAAAGUGGGAUUGUUACGUGAUUUAAUCAACACAUCGCUUGAUAAUUGUUCAAGUAUCGAAGAUUAUGUGAAUAAGAUUAUGGGCACUGCAUACAAAUUAAGAAAUAUAGACUUCAAAGUAGAAGACGAGUGGCUAGGCACACUCAUGCUGGCAGGUUUACCCGAUAAUUACAAACCAAUGAUCAUGGGUCUGGAAAGUUCCGGCGUUAAGAUAUCAUCAGAUUUUGUCAAGACUAAACUUUUGCAAGAAGUCAAAGGUUCGGAGUCGUCUGCGUUCUUGGCUAAAGGGAAGAGUACUUCUUAUCAAAAUCAAAUUACAAAACCCAAAGGAAAAGGUCCGCGUUGUUUCAGCUGUAAUCGGUAUGGACAUUUCAAGAAUCAGUGUACAGCGAAGAAGCCGAACAAUGUUCAACAUGGUUUUUCAGCAGUUUUUUCAGCUUGCAGUCCUUCGAUAAACAAGGAUGAUUGGUAUGUUGAUUCUGCUGCGACAAUGCACAUGACAAGGCGUUCAGACUGGAUGUAUGACUUCAAACCACCUCCGGUUGACAAGAUAAUGGUGGCAAACAAGGAUUAUGUCAUAGUUGAGAAAAUGGGUAAUGUAAACAUUCAAACAGGCUCAUGUAAAGAUGGUUGUCCUAUCCAGCAGCUUCCGGCAUCAGACACCAGACCAGUGCACCGUACACUCAUGAGCAGAACGGCCUUGCGGAGAGGAUGAUGAGAAGUCUGGUGGAGCGUGCAAGAUGCAUGCUUUUUGAGGCAAAGCUGAAAAAAAAUCUGUGGGCUGAAGCAGUUGCCUGUGCUGCUUAUGUCAUCAACAGAUCACCGUCACGAGUUUUGGAUGAGGUAACACCAUACGAGAAAUGGACAGAUUUCAGAUCCGCUGACUGUCGAAGAAGCUUUGGCAAGCGCUAAUGCUCAACACUGGAAAGACGCUAUGGAUGAGGAGUAUCGGUCCUUAAUAGAGAAUAAUACAUGGGAAAUUACUACUCUACCGCCAGGCAAGCGUCCGAUACCAUGUAAGUGGGUCUUUAAAACCAAGACGGAUGCAAA